AGCAUAUCAAUAAGCGGAGGAAAAGAAACCAACAGGGAUUGCCCCCAGUAACGGCGAGUGAAGCGGCAAGAGCUCAAAUUUGAAAGCUGGCUCCUUCGGGGUCCGCAUUGUAAUUUGCAGAGGAUGCUUCGGGAGCGGUCCCCAUCUAAGUGCCCUGGAACGGGACGUCAUAGAGGGUGAGAAUCCCGUAUGGGAUGGGGUGUCCGCGCCCGUGUGAAGCUCCUUCGACGAGUCGAGUUGUUUGGGAAUGCAGCUCUAAAUGGGUGGUAAAUUUCAUCUAAAGCUAAAUAUUGGCCGGAGACCGAUAGCGCACAAGUAGAGUGAUCGAAAGAUGAAAAGCACUUUGAAAAGAGAGUUAAAAAGCACGUGAAAUUGUUGAAAGGGAAGCGCUUGCGACCAGACUCGCUCGCGGGGUUCAGCCGGCAUUCGUGCCGGUGUAUUUCCCCGCGGGCGGGCCAGCGUCGGUUUGGGCGGUCGGUCAAAGGCCCUCGGAAGGUAACGCCCCUAGGGGCGUCUUAUAGCCGAGGGUGCAAUGCGACCUGCCUAGACCGAGGAACGCGCUUCGGCUCGGACGCUGGCAUAAUGGUCGUAAGCGACCCGUCUUGAAACACGGACCAAGGAGUCUAACAUCUACGCGAGUGUUCGGGUGUCAAACCCGUGCGCGAAGUGAAAGCGAACGGAGGUGGGAACCCUUACGGGUGCACCAUCGACCGAUCCUGAAGUCUUCGGAUGGAUUUGAGUAAGAGCGUAGCUGUUGGGACCCGAAAGAUGGUGAACUAUGCCUGAAUAGGGCGAAGCCAGAGGAAACUCUGGAAAAGGCUCGUAGCGGUUCUGACGUGCAAAUCGACCGCAG
RNAcentral lists this ribosomal RNA (853 nucleotides) under Penicillium camemberti. RNAcentral's name for it is "LSU rRNA". It matches the Rfam family "Eukaryotic large subunit ribosomal RNA", at positions 37 to 907 of the family's 3401-position model. The record is from RNAcentral. Lineage: Eukaryota; Fungi; Ascomycota; Eurotiomycetes; Eurotiales; Aspergillaceae.